CCUACGGGAGGCAGCAGUAGGGAAUCUUCCACAAUGGGCGAAAGCCUGAUGGAGCAACGCCGCGUGGGUGAAGAAGGUCUUCUGAUCGUAAAACCCUGUUGUUAGAGAAGAAAGUUCGUGCGCGUAACUGUUCACGUUUCGACGGUAUCUAACCAGAAAGCCACGGCUAACUACGUGCCAGCAGCCGCGGUAAUACGUGGGUGGCAAGCGUUAUCCGGAUUUAUUGGGUUUAAAGGGUGCGCAGGCGGUCUGUUAAGUCAGCGGUCAAAGCCCGGGGCUCAACCCCGGACCGCCGUUGAAACUGGCAGCCUCGAGUUGGAGAGAAGUAUGCGGAAUGCGCGGUGUAGCGGUGAAAUGCAUAGAUAUCGCGCAGAACUCCGAUUGCGAAGGCAGCAUGCCGGAUCCACACUGACGCUGAGGCACGAAAGCGUGGGUAUCGAACAGGAUUAGAUACCCGAGUAGUC
Molecule: ribosomal RNA, 464 nt
Filed under: uncultured bacterium
Lineage: Bacteria
Description: partial 16S ribosomal RNA
Rfam family: Bacterial small subunit ribosomal RNA
Source: RNAcentral